CAACCCUCAGGCCACGCCUGGCGUUGGGGCCCUGCGCUGCAGGCCCCGAAAGACAGCGGCGGGUGCGUCCCACGACCGAACGCAGUAGUUACUUCUCGUUCCGGGCGCGGGCGCAUGCCGGCCGUAAAACACCCCAUUUUACAA
Molecule: unclassified non-coding RNA, 144 nt
Filed under: uncultured Dictyochaeta
Lineage: Eukaryota; Fungi; Ascomycota; Sordariomycetes; Chaetosphaeriales; Chaetosphaeriaceae
Description: sequence contains ITS2
Source: RNAcentral